This is a long non-coding RNA of Aphidius gifuensis, 266 nucleotides long. RefSeq lists it as uncharacterized. The record is from RefSeq and is a predicted model, not a curated record. The transcript is spliced from 3 exons. NCBI's taxonomy places the organism in Eukaryota, Metazoa, Arthropoda, Insecta, Hymenoptera, Braconidae.
UCAUGAUAAUGUGACAAGUCAAAAGAUAAUUAUUUAUUAAUUGUUAUUAAUUAAUGUGACGAUUUAAACUAUGAUCAUAAUAUAAUAAAUUGAUAAAACUAUCAAUAAGUCUGCAUUUAAAACACGAAAAAUGGUACAAAAAUGUAUUGUUUUCGAAUGUCAAACAUUAAAGGCAAAUAAAAAUGGUAUUUCUAUUUUUUCUGUACCAAAGGAUCCUAAACUUUUUGAUGCUUGGAAAUCACAUCUCCCAAAGCUAAGGAAUUCAC